CCUUUCCAGGUUGUUGAUGUGCCAGAGUUUGCCUGGCAGAGACCAUCAGAGAUUCAGAACUUGAGGACUGACUCCUACCCGUUGGUCAAGAAAGUCUGCUCCCCAUAAGACCCAGACUUCCUGGACCUCCCAAGUCCACAAGAACACAAAGCAAAUAAAAACUCCUGACCUUCUGCCCAGAAUCCUCAGGUUACAGAUUUCCCUUGUGGCUUCCCUUGUUCUGCCUCCUCCGUGACACGUGGCCUGCCUCUGAAGCAGGAGUUUAAACUCAUUCCAGGAUAUUUCAGCUUCCUCUCCCAGCUGGUUUCUAGGGCAUGGCAGGGAUGACCCUGCUUCCAAACACUUUCUCCACUGACACAGGAGUUUGCCCUUCUCUUCUGUACCAUUUUCCUGAAGAACUGGAAGACUAAGAGCAAGAUCCUCGGAACACGUAACAGUGUAGACAAAGCAGGACUUACUUCAUGAGGACAUGGCCACCAAUAUGCAGACAGAGCACCCCAAAUCUUUAAGAAAUACCUUUCCAACAGUGAGAGACAUGGAUCUAGAUGAACGAGGAACCCCAUCUUCUGCACAGAAACAAAGACAAAGAACAGUCUUAGACUAUAUUUUCCACAUACUGCAUCAUUACUUCUGUUGCCUUUGACAUUCGCUUUUCCUAAGGAAGAAAAGAAGGAAAUACCCAGGUAACCUCCACACAUCUCCAAGAAAUGAUUUGCCUCUAUAUGUAUGCUCCAUGUCAGGGCUAAAUCUGGAGUUGCUGCUCUUAAGGAAGUAUUGGUGCCUCCAUGACUGAAAAUUCCUAAGAUAGUUAGAAUAAAAUGCCAAUUCAUAUGCAUAUAUUAUAAUAAUUUAUUUUGUCAUAUAUUCAUAUACCCUGCCUGUGUGCCCAUCUGAUUGCUUAUGUGGUAUACCACUUUUGUUUUCAAACCCUCAAAGGUCUUAGUCCCUGGCAUCAACCUGGUUAUUUUAGAAAGCAGAGGGAACAUUCUUGAAUCUGGGAGGGUGUUGAUGUGUUCUUAUUUAUACUCACUCUGUUCUCAUACUCUGUAAUUGACUCAGCUAUUGCCAAAGGCAGGUGACUGAAUUAGUUUUUUGACCCAGAAAAGUUUUCUUAUUUGUGCUGCACUGAUUUGAAAUUAGUUUCUUGUGAUACAGCUGUAGUUAUGAAUAAAAUAUAUGCUCUUCUUGUACAUAUGUUAAAUAGCUUAAUGGGAAACCUUCUGUUGGAAUGGCAUUUCCUUGGCUGCCGUGCUGUGUUUGUUACCUGGCACUACAACAGACGUCUUUAGUCUGUCAAAAUGGCAAAUAAAACACAGAGGGUGACUAUAACCUCUGCCCCAAGCUGGAAAAGAGUGAACCUGUGGAUCCAGGAUAGAGUUAAACACCAGGAUGUCCUCACCUGACGAACAGCUCCGACCAUCUCAGCGCGGCUCGAGAGCCUGGCAGCCAAACGCCGCAGCACCGCGAUGUCCUCCAGGAGCUUCUGGUAGGCUUCCCUGUGCUCAUAGUGGUGCCACAGGUGAGCUGAAGACUGAAGCAAAAAUAGAGCAGCUUUAUCAGUAUGUUUUUAGUUCAAAUGGAGUGGCCAGAGCCUCAAAAUGUGCCAGCAGUGGCACCACAGCCAGCCCGGAGUGCUGCUGCCCUGUCUGAGCACGAUGCUUCACUGCAAACUGCAGGAACACAGUCUGAGGAGUUAGAGAGGACUUAGCACAUCUGUAAUAUUUUCCCUUUCUGAAAUCCAGGUGAAACAUGCCCUGCUACCUGUGAAUUCUACAAAUGCUAAGCUCAUUUCAACUAGCACUUAAAAAUGAUCACUGAGGGACAAAGGACAUUUUCAUUUUCUGGGCACAAUGUAUUAAGAAGGCCAGUGUGUUCUUUCAGUUCCAUGAUACUUCACUUAUUUGGAAAAUUAAACAUUAUAGUCUCAAGAAUUGCAAUGCUACUUUGAUAGUAGAUUGCAACCAAAAUUUGACUGCAAGAACCAAAAUGGCAUAAGGGAAUAUGUUUAAGAAAAAUCAUGCACAGAAUUUGAGAUUUUCCUUUUUUUCUUGACAACUGUAACCUCCUUAUUUUCUCCAAAAAAACCCUGAAAUUCAUGUAGAUCAGCUUUCUCUUGAAAUUAGGUUUUUGAAUAAGACAUCAAUUAUCACAAGACUGAUUAAAAAAUCAGAAAAACUGGUAAAACUGUCACUGAGCCAUAAAACACAUGCCUGUCCUACAGAAAUGAAGAUAACCUCUCAAUGAGAUUGGAACAAGUCUAGGUUUAGUAUGAUAAGAGAUUUUACAGAAGCCAUCACUGCUUUUAAUUGCUUGUUAGUUUAUUCCAUUGUCCAGAACAAAAGCUUUCACAGAGAAGACAGUUUCCACUUUGUUAUAAAUCAUGUAAGAAACUUGUAAAAGCCAGACUGUAGCAUGUGAACUGCUUAAAGGAAGAAAAUUCUAAUCACAUCUGUCCCAUGCUGGCAACAUGAACCUUGGUUCCCCUAAUUAGGGAUUCUUUACAGAAAUAUAUGGCAAAUCUAUUUCAGUCUGAAAACCCUGAGAUUUAAUAGGCUGUUUCUGUUUGCUCUUUACACAGGGAACAGAGGGAAGAGCAGCAAAAUAUUCUCAACAUUUUUGUUUACCAGAAGCAAUUAAUUUGAAUAUGGAGAUUUGGAAUUCCAGAUGAAAAGAUGUGAAGAUCACAAUCUUUCUUUAAUUGUGUGUUUUCCUGAUGGUGUUCUUGAAGUAAAUGGGAGAAUCAUAUGUUCUCCUGACUGUUCUCAUAAGAAUGGCAGCACCACCUUGCAAUAAUGAAUGCCAAGUCUAAGGAUAUGUCAUUUAACAGCCUGGAGUCUAACCAUCCCUCCCUUUAUGCACAAAGACAUGCACAGCACUUAAGCUGACACAUCUUACCUAUUUUGUCAUUCCAGUAGGAAAACCCAGAGAAAGCUGGCGGGAAGGACUCAAAACUACUGCUAAAAAGGAACACCAGGGACAGCUGGGAUGAACUCCUGUACUCAGGCCCAAAACCUGAUCAUCCUGAGAUUGUAUCUAUUCCUUAAGCAUUCCUUGCUGUUUCCUUUAACAUAUCGUGCCUUCUAGUAUUUGCAGUUAAGAGGCCUUUCAAGAUACAGAUCUCAGGAUUCUGAGAUUUUGGUAUCUCUCAUAUCUGGACACCUCAAAUUUACUGCUAAAGAAGAUGUCUUGCCAAGGAGAGCAUGGAUUAGUGCUCAAUCUGCAGUUCUGGAUACUCUUAGCUCUGUCACAGGCUUAUUUCAAGAACUGAACAGCAAAUUCCUAGUAUUUAUUCCUGAAUUCUGCUAGACCCAGGGAAGCAUCCUCUAGAUAUUUCCAGCAAUGUUGGCCCAGUCUGGCAGAAUAUGCCCUCUCAGAGUAGUAGGCAGCUCAUGGCAAGGAGUUUGAGCAGCAGAAAAUGAAGUUUUGGGGCUGAAUUUAUAAAUCAAACACAUUUACAAUGUAUAUGCACUUUCAUGUACACUAUAGGUCAGGAAAAGAAUUCCCACUAUUUUCUUACCGUAAUGGCUGCUUUAAAGUUUUCCAGUUCCUUCUCAGCAUUCUCUUCAGUAAGAUUUCUCUCUCUCUCUGCCUGCUGAAUUCUAGAUUCCAAUGUAUAACUAUCAUUUCUAAAGGCCAAGGAGAGUUGUACAAAUACAUUCUGUUUGGAUUAAAAAAGGCAUUUUCCAAUAAGUCUCACAGUAAUAUAAUUUUCAAUAACAACUUAUGACUAAGGUAUGUGAUUAACAAACUUUGCUGCUUAAAUAAAUUUUGGAACAGAAAAUUGAAAGCAUUUUUAAAUUAGCUUUCUUUGAAAAAUCACUUCUAUUUACUACCACUGAAAUAGGAAUAAUAAAUGCAUUACUGCCUCUUUUUCUGGAUGUUUUUCUGGGAGCUCUGUAGGGCAGAGACAUAAUGAAGGAAGCAGCCUACCAGAAGCAUCAGAAUCACAAUGGAUCUGUUUUCUAGCUGGACUUCCUCCAAGGGUCCCCAAGGUUUUUAAACAGAUAGUCUGUGCAGAGGAAGUCCAGGGAUGAGCUCACCAUGAGCAUUGUUUUACCUAAGGGAUAAACACCUACCCCUGAAGCCAGCAAAAGAUUAAAUGCUAACAUGUUUAUUCUCUUGCACCCUGCUUUUAAAGAUGGUUUCUUUCUUUACCAGACUCAUUAUUUCUUAGGAUUAAUACUUUGCAAAGCACAAGGCUCCAACAGUUCCAGUAGAUUGCAGCAUUGUAAAUAAAGAUAUUUUCUGGACUGAUAUGUGAUUAAAAUAAUACAAGAAACAAAACCUACAAGCUAAUGAGUAAGCUGCAAACAAAAUUAUUGUCUUGAACUGAGAAAGUAAAAAUUAUGUAAACAGCAGGAUAUUAUUAAAAAAUGCCCCAAAGCUCAUAUUGGCUAAUAAAAAUGCAAUUUAAGCUGCUUA
Molecule: long non-coding RNA, 4422 nt
Organism: Parus major (Great Tit)
Lineage: Eukaryota; Metazoa; Chordata; Aves; Passeriformes; Paridae
Exons: 3
Source: RefSeq, a predicted model, not a curated record